RNAcentral lists this small nuclear RNA (79 nucleotides) under Homo sapiens (human). Its description in RNAcentral is "partial ncRNA". Lineage: Eukaryota; Metazoa; Chordata; Mammalia; Primates; Hominidae. The record is from RNAcentral.
AGAAAAUCCCUUGAACCCAGGAGGCAGAGUUUGCAGUGAGCUGAGAUUGUGCCACUGCACUCCAGCCUGGGCAACAGAG